AAGUCAUCUUUUACAACUCCUCCCUACCGCUCCUCCCCUAGCUCUCCAGGCCCAUUGCCCUGACUAGUAAAGGUUUGCUGUUUUUUCUUCUGGACAUUUUCCUUUGCGUCUUCAUUUAUAUAUAAGUGCUCAUAUUCUUGUUAUACACAGAUAUAUUUACAAACGUAGGUUGGGUAUCCCUAAUUCGAAGUGUUUGGGAGUACAACUGUUUCGGAUUUUGAAAUAUUUGCAUAUAUGUAGUGAGAUAUGUUGGGGAUGGGACCUAAGACUAAACAUUCAUUUAUGUUUUAUAUACUGUAGACAGCCUGAAGGUAAUUUUAUACAAUAUUUUCAGUAAUUUUGUGCACACAAUAAAGUUUUGGCUGAGCUGUGGCUGUAACCCAUCAUAUGAGUUCAGGUGUGGAGUUUUUCACUGGUGGCAUCAUGUCUGUGCUCAAUAGAUUUAAAAUUUUGGAGCAUUUUGGAGUUUUGUAUUACAGAUGCUCAACCUGCACUUCUGUAACAGAGUAGUUUGAAUGCUUAAUUAAAAUGGCAGUUGAAUAUUAUGUUAACUUUGGUUUUAUGAUUAAACCUUUUCAAAGUUUUUGUUACUUUCAGAUACUCAUAAGUAAGGCAUAUAACCUCUCUAGACCUCACUUUCCACAUUUGAUAAAGGAACGAUUUGAAUUAAAUGAAAUUGAAAAUCUCUUAGCUCUAAGUAUAACAAAUUAUGUGUUAAAUUGUAUAAUUCAUCUCUUAGAUAUCAUGAAGAAUGUGUUGUUUAUAAUAUGAAAAAGUAUGAAGAUAAAAAUCAAAUAUGACUUUGGGUAGCAAGAAGAGAUUUUGGGGGAAGUUGCUAAUGUGUACAGUUUUUUCCCCUAAGAGCGGCGAGAGAAUGGCAGCUGAUCAGACUGGUGGUGGAAUCUGUCUCUAUUGCCCAGCUUGGCACUAUGAAGUUUGACCUGUGUCGAUCACUCAAAACUAGCUGAUGACAUCUGAAAGGGAGUUUUACCCCGGCUCCCUGAAGUUUCACAUUACAGCUCUACAUUUGUGUUAACACAAUGAAUGCUUCAAAAAAAAAAAGUUAUAGAAAUCAAAGCUUACAUAGGCAAAUCUUUGUUAGUGACUUAGUUAAAAACAUUUCAUGAAUAAUAGUUGCUCAAGCUAUUUUAACCCUUUUCCCUUUCCCAGAAGAGAAACAAGAAAAUCCCACACAUUUUGCUCAGUCAUGGUAUGUUUGUAAGCUCUCUUGUCAGAAAGUGUCACUGAUUCUUUAAAUUUCUUUUAGUUAGCUGCUUUUGUCCAGUAGCUCACUUAUUUUGUGGUUUGAAGAUGACUGUACUUCUGACACUUUUCUCACAUACUCCUGCUUUAAUUUUUCGAAAAACUCAAUGGCAAGAAACUGAAAACAUAUACAGAAGUGGAGAGAAUACUAGAAUGAGCUCUCACGUCCCUAGCCUCUUGGCUUCAGCAGUACUCAGUGUUUUGCCCAUCAGAUUUUCUAAUGCUUUUAGUGUAAGUAAUGCCACAUUUAAAAAUACUCCUUUUAGAAAAGAGACUUAGUAUUUAAAAGGAAAUAAACCAGAG
Molecule: long non-coding RNA, 1566 nt
Filed under: Homo sapiens (human)
Lineage: Eukaryota; Metazoa; Chordata; Mammalia; Primates; Hominidae
Description: HSALNT0404074
Source: RNAcentral